This 253-nucleotide ribosomal RNA is filed under the name uncultured bacterium. RNAcentral's name for it is "partial 16S ribosomal RNA". It matches the Rfam family "Bacterial small subunit ribosomal RNA", at positions 524 to 776 of the family's 1533-position model. The record is from RNAcentral.
UACGUAGGGGGCAAGCGUUGUCCGGAUUUAUUGGGCGUAAAGAGCGUGUAGGCGGCCAGACAGGUCCGUUGUGAAAACUCGAGGCUCAACCUCGAGACGCCGAUGGAAACCGUCUGGCUAGAGUCCGGAAGAGGAGAGUGGAAUUCCUGGUGUAGCGGUGAAAUGCGCAGAUAUCAGGAGGAACACCGAUGGCGAAGGCAGCUCGCUGGGACGGUACUGACGCUGAGGCGCGAAAGCGUGGGGAGCGAACAGG